RNAcentral lists this long non-coding RNA (1658 nucleotides) under Podarcis muralis (Common wall lizard). RNAcentral's name for it is "lncRNA (ENSPMRG00000020024.1)". Lineage: Eukaryota; Metazoa; Chordata; Lepidosauria; Squamata; Lacertidae. The record is from RNAcentral.
UAGGUCCAAUUAAAUGAGGCGGGGAAUCCCUCAAGGGACGGAGCAGCAGCUGAUUUGCUACCUGUGCUAUGACAAUGCAAACAUGCAUUGACGUUCUUCAAAAGAUAUGGUGCAUCAAACAUGCAUUGACAUGCAUCGAAUCAUAGAGAAUCUACAUGGUCCAUGAAAAUGCAUCAGGUGACGGGACGCGGACACCAGGAAGUAUCUAUGCAGAACUCUCUGGGAUUUUAUCUUACAUGUGCCCUUGCAUCAGAAAUAUCAGGUCAAUGGUGACCACGGUUCAGAUCCAGAAGACUGGUUGUCAGAAGGCGCCAUUCAUCUGUGGGCUGUUCUCUCUUACUCUCUUUUUGGGGGAUUUUGUGUAACAGUGUGGUGAUUCUGCCCAUCAAAGGCAGAAGGUCCAUCCCCCAUUCCUUUUCCUCCUUGGUUCCAGUCAAUUGAGGAGAGAGAGAGCUGUCUUAAGGGUUGCCUAAGCUGUAGCCUUCUGUUCCCUGUAGGACACCUACCUUCCAUAGCACCAGAGAGCAGCUCCAGUUCCCUGGGAGUGCUUCUAGCGGGGAGCAUAUGUGAUGUCUGGUGUGAUGUAAUCUUGGGAACUUCAGGAAAUAGGUGAGGUGAGGACAGUCACAAGGGAGAGGCAGCUGCUGAUUUGUUCUCUGCGCCACUAAGCCCUCUUCCCAAGGGUGUCUGUAGGAGUUUAAUUCUUAAGAGACUUUACUCAGGUACCACAAUCUGCUCCUACAAAACUUCCCCACCACUCUAUAUAUUUUGCUUCUGCUACUAAUAAUUAAUGAUUAAUAAUGUUGUUCUGCAAUAAUGUUUUAUUCCUCUUGGAGUGACCUUCCAGGCUUUCUUGUUUGUGUUUUGAGGUCAUAAUCCAAUGGAUUUCUGUCUGGGACACUGUUGCUCUUGAACACACCUUCUGCCUCCCACUAUGGGGUUUGAUUUCACACCUUGUGGAGGAGUGGGGAGGAUGUGACCAUAUGCUCAGGGGAUUGUGGAGGAAGGAAGGAGCCUGGGUCCUCCUUCUCUUUAGGAGUAAUACGCCAUUGGAAUGGAAAGAAUUAGGAAAAGAUUUACAAAAUAACACCAAAAAGAUGGGCAAAUUGACAACAGAAAUCAAAACACUAUCCAGGAAAACUAAUGGUAUGGAAAAACCAGUCCAAGCUUUAGAGGAGACAGUUAAGAGAAAGAAAGAAGAGAAUUGAGAAAUGAAAAGGGAUCAAGAUAGAAUGAAAACAGAGCUCGCCACAGUAAGAGAAACUCAGGAGGAUAUAAUCAAUAAUAUUCCACUUCUGGAAUUAAAACAAAAUGACACAACACUACGUUUGAGAGGCAUUCCAGAGCAUCGGAAUAAACAAAUUGGGGUUAAAAGGAACCAUGGAAAGAGAGGAUAGGAAGUCAAGGAAUGCUUUCUGAUUUUUUUGUUCAUUAUUUUAAUUCCGGGGAAGGAAAGAUUUUUCUUUGUUCUAUCAUUUUUAGCUCGUUUUUUCCUACUACACAGGGUAGGACACAAAUCAAUGGCAUCAAGUUUUUUAUUUUUAAAAAACAAGACUGACUAAACAUGUGGAAGAACUUUUUGACAGCAAAAGCUGUUAGUGGAUUGGACUCCCUUGGGAGUGCGGGAAUUUCCAUCCUUUGAGGUUUUCAAGUGAAGU